CCUCAGACGUCAGUAGAAGCCGAGCUGACGGGAGGGUGAGGAGGGCUAGAUGAAAAGAUGCUGGUGGCAGGAAAGAGGACUGUCACCUGAAUUCCAAACCUCCAAUUGGCUCGGCAUCUCCCAGAAUAUCGGAGGACUGAAGCCGGCAGUGAGAGAAGACCUUUGCUCCGGCUCGUGCGGCAAGGGAUGGAUAAAGGCAAAACCCUCUGAGGCCCUGAACCAAUGCUCCGCACUGUAAGCUAAGUCUUUGUGGCCAGGAAAUCAGAGCACCCCUAAAUUUGAGGAUCCAAGGCCUCCAGUCAAGCCACCUCUAACGUCAUUCUGGACGCUGAACAUCCCAAGG
Long non-coding RNA from Ornithorhynchus anatinus (platypus), 343 nucleotides. RefSeq lists it as uncharacterized. The record is from RefSeq and is a predicted model, not a curated record. NCBI's taxonomy places the organism in Eukaryota, Metazoa, Chordata, Mammalia, Monotremata, Ornithorhynchidae. The transcript has 3 exons.